ACAUAUCAAUAAGCGGAGGAAAAGAAACCAACAGGGAUUGCCCCAGUAACGGCGAGUGAAGCGGCAACAGCUCAAAUUUGAAAUCUGGCCCCCGGGUCCGAGUUGUAAUUUGCAGAGGAUGCUUUGGGCGAGGUUCCUUCCGAGUUCCCUGGAACGGGACGCCACAGAGGGUGAGAGCCCCGUCUGGUCGGACACCGAGCCCGUGUAAAGCUCCUUCGACGAGUCGAGUAGUUUGGGAAUGCUGCUCAAAAUGGGAGGUAUAUGUCUUCUAAAGCUAAAUAUUGGCCAGAGACCGAUAGCGCACAAGUAGAGUGAUCGAAAGAUGAAAAGCACUUUGAAAAGAGGGUUAAAAAGUACGUGAAAUUGUUGAAAGGGAAGCGCCUAUGACCAGACUUGCGCCCGGUGAAUCAUCCAGCGUUCUCGCUGGUGCACUUCGCCGGGCACAGGCCAGCAUCAGUUUGGCGCGGGGGACAAAGGCUUCGGGAACGUGGCUCCCUCGGGAGUGUUAUAGCCCGCUGCGUAAUACCCUGCGCCGGACUGAGGUACGCGCAUCGCAAGGAUGCUGGCGUAAUGGUCAUCAGCGACCCGUCUUGAAACACGGACCAAGGAGUCGUCUUCGUAUGCGAGUGUUCGGGUGUUAAACCCCUACGCGGAAUGAAAGUGAACGUAGGUGAGAGCUUCGGCGCAUCAUCGACCGAUCCUGAUGUUCUCGGAUGGAUUUGAGUAAGAGCAUACGGGGCCGGACCCGAAAGAAGGUGAACUAUGCCUGUAUAGGGUGAAGCCAGAGGAAACUCUGGUGGAGGCUCGCAGCGGUUCUGACGUGCGAAUCGAUCGUCAAAUAUGGGCAUGGGGGCGAAAGACUAAUCGAACCUUCUAGUAGCUGGUUUCCGCGAU
Molecule: ribosomal RNA, 894 nt
Filed under: Cordyceps polyarthra
Lineage: Eukaryota; Fungi; Ascomycota; Sordariomycetes; Hypocreales; Cordycipitaceae
Description: partial large subunit ribosomal RNA
Rfam family: Eukaryotic large subunit ribosomal RNA
Source: RNAcentral